RNAcentral lists this small RNA (242 nucleotides) under Thalassolituus oleivorans MIL-1. Its description in RNAcentral is "PhrS". It matches the Rfam family "PhrS". Lineage: Bacteria; Pseudomonadati; Pseudomonadota; Gammaproteobacteria; Oceanospirillales; Oceanospirillaceae. The record is from Rfam by way of RNAcentral.
GACGACCAACGUCGUUGAAGUUCAGAGUGAGGUGAUGACUAUGUUUAUGGAUGAAGUCGUAUUUGCUGGGUUGGCAAUUGUUGGUUUAACGUGUCUAUUUUUUGUUGGCUUUUACAUGGCCAUCAAGAAAGAUAUUUCGAAGCAUGGUACCGGCGAGUAAUCGUCUGUAACUAAAGCUAAGAGCAGUAUCUUUAAAGAUCUUAUAUUUGGGCCAGUCGUUCUGACGUUGGCCCUUUUUCAUU